UGAUUACUGCCAGACCUGCUCAAUCAUGAAAUCAUUUAAAUAGAACCUGUCUGACAAAGUGAAGUAGAGUAAAAGACCUUGAAAAGCAUCAUGGCAUGACCUAAAGGAACUGAAAAACAGUUCAGAAAUCAAACCACUGGCUAAAGCGUUGGAACUGCUGCCAUUGCUGAUUAGGCAUUUGUGUCAAUCAACAGCUGAAGAGGUGUACCUAAUGAAGGGGCUGACUUGGAUGGGACAGCCCUGAACCCAAAUGCACCACGGAUCACUUCAACCUGCAGCUGCGGACGCUCUACUGGACUUAAAACUGGCAUUAACAAAGCGACACUGGCAUGAGCAGGAAGACCGAGAGUAGAAGAGUAACUGCAGGGAAAAGUGCAACUAUUAAGUAUAAAUGAAUCUGGAAAGACCUUUUGAAAAUUAAGGUCACCCAUCAAUCACUUUGCACCAACAGCGCCUCUGUCUGCAGAAAACCUUGUCCUCCAGAGCUGUGGAGUGUGACAAUGGUGUUUGUUUCCUCUUCGUCAAACGCCAUUAUCACACUAAAUAGCUACAGUGUGAAAAGCCCCUCGACGUACCCCUUCACUUUUGGGUUUAAGUGUUGUGUUUGUGGUGUGUGGGUUUUCUUUUUUUCUUUUUCUAAAUUUUAAUCCUCUUAUUAAAUCUGUUGUACAAACUGUAAAGCAAGACUGUAUAUCAGCUGUGCCAAUGACUCUGUGCACACUACACCAGAGCAGGAGAUGGAAAUAGACAUUUGGUGUGUUUAUGCAUCAUAUGUGAUGCUGAGCCUCUGAGUGUGACCCACUUUCUUUUUGGAUUCAAGGUGCUAAUUUGCUGCUGGAGACCUUAAAACAGACCUUGGUUUACUACUACUGAUGCCAGCUUUGUAAAUGUAAAGCUUAUUGCACAUUUGUCUCUGUUUACCAUAAAUAAAGUGCUUUUGAUCUGUU
This is a long non-coding RNA of Haplochromis burtoni (Burton's mouthbrooder), 947 nucleotides long. RefSeq lists it as uncharacterized. The record is from RefSeq and is a predicted model, not a curated record. NCBI's taxonomy places the organism in Eukaryota, Metazoa, Chordata, Actinopteri, Cichliformes, Cichlidae. The transcript has 3 exons.